RNAcentral lists this ribosomal RNA (497 nucleotides) under uncultured bacterium. Its description in RNAcentral is "partial 16S ribosomal RNA". It matches the Rfam family "Bacterial small subunit ribosomal RNA", at positions 28 to 507 of the family's 1533-position model. The record is from RNAcentral.
GAUGAACGCUGGCGGCGUGCCUAAUACAUGCAAGUCGAGCGAACAGACGAGGAGCUUGCUCCUCUGACGUUAGCGGCGGACGGGUGAGUAACACGUGGAUAACCUACCUAUAAGACUGGGAUAACUUCGGGAAACCGGAGCUAAUACCGGAUAAUAUAUUGAACCGCAUGGUUCAAUAGUGAAAGACGGUUUUGCUGUCACUUAUAGAUGGAUCCGCGCCGCAUUAGCUAGUUGGUAAGGUAACGGCUUACCAAGGCGACGAUGCGUAGCCGACCUGAGAGGGUGAUCGCCCACACUGGAACUGAGACACGGCCCAGACUCCUACGGUAGGCAGCAGUAGGGAAUCUUCCGCAAUGGGCGAAAGCCUGACGGAGCAACGCCGCGUGAGUGAUGAAGGUCUUCGGAUCGUAAAACUCUGUUAUUAGGGAAGAACAAAUGUGUAAGUAACUAUGCACGUCUUGACGGUACCUAAUCAGAAAGCCACGGCUAACUACGUG